GUAUGUGACCGGUGACCGAUCCCAUGUGAAACCCCUUCGACGAGUCGAGUUGUUUGGGAAUGCAGCUCAAAAUGGGUGGUAAAUUUCAUCUAAAGCUAAAUACUGGCUGGAGACCGAUAGCGCACAAGUAGAGUGAUCGAAAGAUGAAAAGCACUUUGGAAAGAGAGUCAAAAAGUACGUGAAAUUGUUGAAAGGGAAGCGCUUGCAACCAGACCUGUCCGCAGGUGAUCAGCCGCCGUUCUCGGUGGUGCACUCGCCUGCGAUCAGGCCAGCAUCGGUUCGGGCGGUCGGAUAAAGGCCUUGGGAAUGUAGCUCCUCUCGGGGAGUCUUAUAGCCCUCGGUGCAAUGCGGCCAGCCCGGACCGAGGACCGCGCUUCGGCUAGGAUGCUGGCGUAAUGGUUGUAAGCGACCCGUCUUGAAACACGGACCAAGGAGUCUAACAUCUAUGCGAGUGUUUGGGUGUCAAACCCAUGCGCGGAAUGAAAGUGAACGGAGGUGAGAACCCUUUAGGGCGCAUCAUCGACCGAUCCAGAUGUCUUCGGAUGGAUUUGAGUAUGAGCAUAGCUGUUGGGACCCGAAAGAUGGUGAACUAUGCCUGAAUAGGGUGAAGCCAGAGGAAACUCUGGUGGAGGCUCGCAGCGGU
This 643-nucleotide ribosomal RNA is filed under the name Protoparmelia aff. montagnei A GS-2015. Its description in RNAcentral is "eukaryotic LSU rRNA". It matches the Rfam family "Eukaryotic large subunit ribosomal RNA", at positions 223 to 884 of the family's 3401-position model. The record is from RNAcentral. Lineage: Eukaryota; Fungi; Ascomycota; Lecanoromycetes; Lecanorales; Parmeliaceae.